Oreochromis aureus is the source of this 486-nucleotide long non-coding RNA. RefSeq lists it as uncharacterized. NCBI's taxonomy places the organism in Eukaryota, Metazoa, Chordata, Actinopteri, Cichliformes, Cichlidae. The record is from RefSeq and is a predicted model, not a curated record. The transcript is spliced from 3 exons.
AAAAAAGCCUCUUACACACCAAACAUCAAAUCCGUCCUGUCCUGUCUGAGUGCUCGGGCACGCCGCCAGAUCUACUCAGCCUGCAACACGAGCUGCUGAUCCAGGAGGAGAGAGGCGAGGAGAGACUAAGAAGCGGAUAGUGAUCUGAGAACCAAAAACUGAUUGGGUUUCAAAGAGCUUGGCACCAGCCUGCUGCAGGAGGCAACCUGCCAAGAGAAGGUUCCUGUGUACUUUUACAACGGUGCCAUUAAGAAACUGGAAAAGAUCAAAGGAAACACAUCCAAGGAAUGAGGACGGGCGCAAGUUUGUGUCGGCGAAACAUUACUGCAGAACAAUGGGCUUCAUUUACUAAUAUUUCUGUGAAAAUAAUCUCACACUGCACAAAAAAACAAAUGGGAGAGUGUCAAGAAAUGAUACUGUAAGUAACGACAUUCAGAACAACAAGAUAAAGUCAUUUUUAAGGACAGAAAAGAACAUUUAAAAUAA